Molecule: ribosomal RNA, 1441 nt
Filed under: uncultured Candidatus Pelagibacter sp.
Lineage: Bacteria; Pseudomonadati; Pseudomonadota; Alphaproteobacteria; Candidatus Pelagibacterales; Candidatus Pelagibacteraceae
Description: bacterial SSU rRNA
Rfam family: Bacterial small subunit ribosomal RNA
Source: RNAcentral
AGGGUUCGAUCCUGGCUCAGAACGUACGCUGGCGGCACGCCUAACACAUGCAAGUCGAACGAAGUAGCAAUACUUAGUGGCAGACGGGUGAGUAACAUGUAGGUAUCUACCCUUUGGCCUGGAAUAACACGAGGAAACUUGUGCUAAUACCGGAUAAGUCUUUACGGAGAAAGCUUUAUGCACCAUUGGAUGAGCCUGCACUUGAUUAGUUUGUUGGUGGGGUAAUGGCCUACCAAGACUGUGAUCAAUAGCUGAUCUGAGAGGAUGAUCAGCCACAUUGGGACUGAGACACGGCCCAAACUCCUACGGGAGGCAGCAGUGGGGAAUCUUGCACAAUGGAGGAAACUCUGAUGCAGCGAUGCCGCGUGAGUGAAGAAGGCCCUUGGGUUGUAAAGCUCUUUCGUCGGGGAAGAAAAUGACUGUACCCGAAUAAGAAGGUCCGGCUAACUUCGUGCCAGCAGCCGCGGUAAUACGAAGGGACCUAGCGUAGUUCGGAAUUACUGGGCUUAAAGAGUUCGUAGGUGGUUGAAAAAGUUAGUGGUGAAAUCCCAGAGCUUAACUCUGGAACUGCCAUUAAAACUUUUCAGCUAGAGUAUGAUAGAGGAAAGCAGAAUUUUUAGUGUAGAGGUGAAAUUCGUAGAUAUUAGAAAGAAUACCAAUUGCGAAGGCAGCUUUCUGGAUCAUUACUGACACUGAGGAACGAAAGCAUGGGUAGCGAAGAGGAUUAGAUACCCUCGUAGUCCAUGCCGUAAACGAUGUGUGUUAGACGUUGGAAAUUUAUUUUCAGUGUCGCAGCGAAAGCGAUAAACACACCGCCUGGGGAGUACGACCGCAAGGUUAAAACUCAAAUGAAUUGACGGGGACCCGCACAAGUAGUGGAGCAUGUGGUUUAAUUCGAAGAUACGCGCAGAACCUUACCAACACUUGACAUGUUCGUCGCGACUCUAAGAGAUUAGAGUUCUCGGUUCGGCCGGACGAAACACAGGUGCUGCAUGGCUGUCGUCAGCUCGUGUCGUGAGAUGUUGGGUUAAGUCCCGCAACGAGCGCAACCCUCACUUUUAGUUGCCAUCAUUAAGUUGGGCACUCUGAAAGAACUGCCAGUGAUAAGCUGGAGGAAGGUGGGGAUGACGUCAAGUCCUCAUGGCCCUUACGUGUUGGGCUACACACGUGCUACAAUGGUAUCUACAACAGGAAGCAAGACUGCGAGGUCAAGCAAAUCCUUAAAAGAUACCUCAGUUCGGAUUGCACUCUGCAACUCGAGUGCAUGAAGCUGGAAUUACUAGUAAUCGUGGAUCAGCGUGCCACGGUGAAUGCGUUCCCGGGUCUUGUACACACCGCCCGUCACACCAUGGGAGUUGGUUCUACCUUAAGGCAAGGUUUAAAACCCUUGACCACGGUAUAGUCAGCGACUGGGGUGAAGUCGUAACAAGGUAACCAAGGG